GGAGCACUUUUGUGUGUAGGUCCUCGCUGUCGGGUUCACUGUUUAAAAUUAGUCCCAGAGAUUUCAAAAUCAAAAGUUUAUUUAAAAACCUCACGUGUCUCGGUGCAGCGUCUGAACACACAAAGGCACCUCCUUCUAAGAACCUGGUAGACGGACCAGGAGCCUCUUAUCGACCUUUGUGGUCCUCAGUCACCCAUUACCAAUCCAUUACUUUCAGAAAACCUUUGCCCAAACUUUGCAGCCUCCUGAGGCAGUAACUUACAGACACACCUGCUUUUGAAAAAGCAUUUCCUCUUUUAUCCUAAACUCAUUUUGUUUGGAGAGGCCAUACAUAAACAAGAUGAUGUGUCUGAAACCACCUUAUGUAAAUGAGGCAUGGGUUCUCACUAUGUUGCUUAAGCUGGUCUGGAACUCAAGCCAGUCUCUCACUUCAGCCUCUUGAGUCGUUGGGAUUACAGGAGCCACCAUGUCCAACUGUCUUGCUCUAUCACCCCAGCUGGAGUGCAGUGGUGUGCUUAUGACUCACUACAGCUUUGACCUUCUGGGCUCAAGCAAUUCUCCCCCCUCAGCCUCCUGAGCAGCGAGAACUACAGCCCAACUCUGCUUCUCUUCUUACUAAGGAACGAGAUCAAGGGGAUUCCUGUGAGCAAGGUUCUUCCUGGUACCUGACUGGACAACUGGAUGAAGAAGAGGGGAAGAAGGAGGCUGCCUGAGCCCCCGCAAGACAUCAAGUGCCCUCCUUAUGGUGACUGCAGAGAUCCUGGGAAGAGUCAAACAAAUAUUAUUCAAAUCCAGAGGUGUCUCCUGGACCCAAAGGGGUUCACAGAGAGGCAGGAGACUGCUUGGAAAAGAUCAACCUUAAUUGUCCUUGUCAUCCUCCAUCCCCACACUGAAUCCAGAAGCAACCCUGGAAUCCUCCUCAGUUCAGUGUUCAAGGCAUAUCAUCGUCCUAGUCACUGGAGAGUCAAAGAGACAAGAUCUUGUUGCCCAGGCUGGUCUCAAACUCCUGGGUUCAAAUGAUACUCCCGCCUUGGCCUCCCAAAGUGUUGGGAUUGCAGACCUGAGCCACUGUGCCUGGCUGAAUUCUAUUUCUAUUGGAUUGGUUGUAAAGAAGUGCAUUGUAACCUGCAAAGGAGCAGGGCCAGUGGGGUGGGGAGGGCAGAAGUGCUGCAGAGGCCCCUGCUCUCCACUGCCUUCCUCAGCUGCUACUGUGCUGGAUGCCGUGUGAACCACAGCUGCAUUUGGAGGCCUGGGCAGUGACAAGAGGCCCUGAGGGUGCAAGGAUGGAAACAGGGAGUCCAGUUAGGAAGACAUGCAGUAAUUGAGGCCUGAGAACGAAUGUAAAACCAAUGGAGGGCCCAGGAAGGCAAAUGGAAAAUGAUUAUUGAACAAGCUGAAAACUGCCAAAAAACAUAAACUCUCACUUUGAAGCCAUCAUCUGACUGAAAUGGAGACUGUAAAACUGAGAAUAAUGAUUCUAAAACAACUAAAGUAUAUGUACAAGGCAGAUGACCAGAGGAUAUUGUGAUAUCGAGAGAGGAAGGCCAGGAGGUCAUUUGACAGAGGUCUGGACACGCAGCACUAAGAAAGGAGCAACCGGACAUUUUAAAACAUGAGUCCUGUGAAAUAGUAGUGAACUUGAACAUUAUACUUUUAGGCUUUUCCAAUUUGGAGGCACAAGUAAGUGAGAACUUGGGGAUCCACUGAGGUCUGAGGCAUGGUAGUACCAGAGGAGAUGAAGGGGCUUUCGGCAUGAAGCUGGUCCCCUGUGGACAGCACGCUGAUUUUCCCAUUGGGCUCUAUCAGCAUGUCCACUGUCAGGUUGGUGACAUUGUCUGCAGGUGGGAAUGCUUCAAUCACACCCCCUGGUGGGAAAAACAUGGAGUAGGUGAAAGGACACAUGCAUUUUGUUUGACUUGGGCUCAGAUUCUGCAUCUGCCAUGUCUUGAGAGACUUUGGUGUCUGAUGGGAAAAACAAGGAUUAUACUAAGAAUGGCCUCAGCACCAAUGAAAAUUGUCUUCCUAUCCCUACAAAACAAACCAAAAAAAUACAGCAGGACCUGCAGCUCAUAUAUUCAAGUAAGGUCAGAAAAAUGACAUUCUUGGUAAAAGCUUCAUUUUAUUUUAUCCCCCCAACAAAACAACCCUUUACAGUCUGGUUUCUGCUGGUACUCAGAAGCUGCUUGUGAACUGGUGGGUUAGGCCAGAGCUCAAAUCCAGGAGCAAAGGACUCCAUUGCAGCAGUGGUUUAACAAGCUAAGAACACUCUUUUCCCAAGAAGCAACACGGUCCCAAUGGCCACAAUGGGUCUAUUGACGUCAGAUGCAAGCUCUCAGUUUUUGGGGGGCUUUCUGUUCUCUAGUUUUUAUCAUUUUGCAUAGUUCAAACAUAAUUGCCACAACUUUAAGGGCAGAUGCUGGUAAGGGAAGAUCUGUAGCUAUUCAAGUUUAUUUUGUUCAAAACAAACUUACAUACACACAAACAUACACACACACACACACACACACACCCCUUCCAUAACAGACAAACACUCCAAUUCAUGUGAAUCAUUAGAAUACUAUUUGUAAAAUACUUUGUCUCAUCACAGGUUCACAUUCAUGAUCUCAUUCAGUCCUUUCAGCAACACUCUACAGUGGCCACUACGAUGUUAUUUCUCUUGCUUUAAAAUGGGAGCUGAGGCACUUAGAAUGAAGAGGCUUGUGUAAGAUCACUCGGUGAGCUUCAACAAAUGAUGAAAGACAGAAAAUAACAGUUAAGGAAACCAUUGCUAGCUUGCUUUCUUCCUCCCUUUUCUAUCUUCCCGAAGUGUAUAUAUAUUGAAUAUCUGUUAUAAGCCAGCAACAGGGGCACAUCUUUAUCUCAAAAACUUGUGAAAUGAGGCUGGGCGCGGUGGCUCACGCCUGUAAUCCCAGCACUUUGGGAGGCCGAGGUGGGUGGAUCACUUGAGGUCAGGAGUUCACGACCAGCUUGACCAACAUGGUGAAACCCUGUCUCUACUUAAAAUACAAAAAUUAGCCGGGCAUGGUGGUGGGCACCUGUAAUCCCAGCUACUUGGGAGGCUGAGGCAGGAGAAUUGCUUGAAUCCAGGAGGCAGAGGUUACAGUAAAUUGAGAUCGUGUCAUUGCACUCCAGCCUGGGCAACAAGAGCAAAACUCUGUCUCAAAAAAAAAAAAAAAAAAAAAAAGACAACAAUAACUUGUGAAAUGAGUAGUUAGGAAGAUUUUUUUGCUUUGCAUUGAGUAACAACAAGGUGAUGGACGAUGGACGACCACAUCAGUGUUUCAGAGAGGCUAUUAUCCAUUUUGAACAGAUCAUUUAGAGCUAAUGACUUGGGAAGUGUGGAAGGAAAAAUAUAUACCUUGUUGAUAAUAAACAAGUGCUAGAAAAAAUACAUUUGACUUUUGAAAAAAGUCAGAAUUCCAGAUUUUCAUUCCAUCAUGAUUGCACUGGCUCUGGGAAUGCAAUUAGCGGCUAGCUUUGUGGGGCUGAUGCUCUAGGGCAAUUCCCAUCAGAAGAAACUUCAGCCCCAUCUUUGCCACUGCACAGGCUUGCCUCCACUUUUUCCAGUGCCCACAUUUACCUCUCAGAGUGCAUCAACAAUCGUCACGACCUUGGAAGGUUCCAAGACAUCUGCAGAAGGCACGGGGCUCCACCAGCCUGGCCGAUGCACCCCAGAGAUUCUUGUCUACCAAAUGCUUCUGACAUCCCUACAUGGAGACUGGAGAGUGAAAAGGGCAAGACAAUGACCUGAAAAAGUAAGCAAGAGACUGUCAGUGUUGAAAGGAGCCAUGUGGACUAUCUAGGACAAAUGCCUCGUGUCACAGAAGAGGGAACGAGGGCUUCUUCGGUCAUACUGGGAGGCUGCAGGUGCUCUCUGGCUGCCUCUGACUCCUGGACCAUGCUUGUUAAAAUACCAGGAUGGUAAAUUAGUGAAUUCCAAAGUCAGGAUUUUUGUGGGAUCUGGCACAGUUACAGGAAAGUCUGAGUCUUCUCAAGGGCAUCCCUGUCUCACCGAGGGGCACCAAGGACAGACGACCAGAAGCAAAUGGCGCAGUCACCGUCAGAGGAGAGUAAAACUCAUUCUGAAACCGUUCCAAAUGCCCAUGCCUGCUCUGUGGUUUUCAGCAAAGCGGACCUUUCCAAAAGACCUCCAGUGGGGACUUCCUGGAUGUGAGAACACUAACCAAUUCUCGUUUCUCUCAUCUUUUGCUUUAUUCCUUCCUUCCAUGCUGUUAUUGCAAAAAACUGGCAGUUAAAUUCAAUUGAUUCAAAAUAUUCGGGAUCCAUAUGGCCGCCAACCCUGGAGCUGAAGCGGCGAUAGCGCCUCACUGCUGUUUUCAAGCAUUUGCCUCUCCUCCAGUCCCCAGAUGGUGGGAGUAACAUUUAAACCUCCUUUUCUCUGCCUUGUACAAUAGACCUUGGCACCAUUUCAACUGUUUACUCCGGUAAUUAACAGCUCUGAUACCACAACAAUUACAACUCCUACACUCUCACCACAAUAAUGCUAUGAAUUAGUGAGAGCUAAUGGCUGGAAGGUAGAGUGUUUCCAGACUGUGAGAUCUGUGCAUUUUUAGAAUAAAAUAAAAGGUACAAACAGCACGCUUGCAGUAGACAAUGAUUACCUAGUAAUUAGUUUACACAAAGCUUCCUAUUUAAUGGCAAAACACUGUAAUUAACGUGUGACAGAAAAUCAAAGGGUACUUUGUAAGCAUAUGAAAAAUUAACACUGCAGGCCCAUAGCUUUAUGUACUGAUUAGAAGCAUAUUAAAUCAAUAGGACACACAAACCAACAGCUUGUGUAGCUGAUUAUUAUAGGUCCUCAGAAGGGGUACCCUGGCUUUCAUUUCACUUGGGGAGGCAAUUUUCCUUCUCCUGUCAUCUUCCUCAGGCACAGAGAAACACCUCACACUCAACCCUGGCAGCUUCAUGAAAAUAACUACUGAACUGGAAGAAAACAUUCUAAGUCAUUCUCAGAGAUAAAGACAAAUAUGUAAAUGAUUAAGACUUUCCAAUGAUUGUGGUGACGUGCUGCUACACUAAUUAGAAAAUACACCAACUGGAACCAGAAAAUAAAGCCACUGGGUUGCAAUCUUUCCGUCAGAAUAAUCUCUACUUUGUCAAGCCUCUUUAUUCAACUCAUAGAAAGUUCAAAUAAAUGGAACUGUUUUAUAUUUCUAAAUGAUAAGAAAGCAGGCUGCUAUGAAGACAUUCUUUUCAAGGCACUGUCUGGGUAAAGCAUAGGCUGGGAACAACCGGAUCAACCAAUAUUCUGUAUCUUCAACAGCCACAACCCUAUAUAACGAUGGCUGAUGGACAUAGACAGCAAUAUCCUGGAAGCCUACCAGAGCCUAAAGAACCUUCUAAAUGACCAAAGAAAGAUUAAGUUGUAUGUACUUGUUCAAUGUUACCUGUAUUUUGUUAUAAUACAAUUUUAUGGUAAUAAUAACAAUAAUAAUAGGUAGCAUUUCUUAAAGUCUUAUUAUGUGCUAAGCACACUGCUAGCCAAUUCACAGAAUUAUCUCAUUUACUUGUCACCACUUACCCAUGAGACAGGUACUAAUCUCUCUUUACAGAUAGAGAAAGGAAGACUUGGAGAGCUGAAGUAAUUUGCCUAUGUUAUCCCCCAGGAAGCAUGGGAGUCUAACGUAGGUGUCCCUGACUAUGGAACCCCAGGAAGCCAAACUACCUCUUAGUUACCCUGAAUGACUAGCCUGUUCCAACACUCAUUCUGCUUAAAAGGCAGUUUACUAUGUCAACCUGGAAUAGGAGACUAAAAAAAUUAAAACAAACAAACAAAAUAUUUGGUUGCUUAUUUUUUUAAAAAACAGGGUAUUUCUGCUUUUAGAGAUAGGAGUCUUGUUCUGUCACCCAGGCUGGAGAGUGGUGGUGCAGUCAUGGCUCACUGCAGCCUCAAACUCCUGGGCUCGAGUGAUCCUCUUUCUUCAGGCUUUUAAGUAGCUGGAACUACAGGCACACAGCUAAUUUUUAAAUCUUUUGUAGAGAUAGGGUCUUACUAUAUUGCCCAGGCUGGUCUUGAGCUCCUGGCCUCAAGCCAACUCCCACCUCGGCCUUCCAAAGUGUUGGGAUUACAAAAUAUCACAGGAGUGAUCGACUGCACUGGGCUAAAAACAAGGGUUUUAAAUGCUUACCAUAUUUUUAAUGCUACAUCUGAUGUGAGGGUGGGCUACUCCAAGCUUUUUGGGAAUUUACAGGCUCACUAAAAUGAUCACGAUAGUGUAUUCAAUUGAGAAAGGCAUUGAAAAUCUGUCAUUCCCAUGAACAAUCAAAGGGUGAUGUCUAAAAUUCUCUCUCAUCACCCAUGCACAUAACCAGGUAUGUGAGGCAGUUGGGUUGCAAGAGCUGAAUCCUAGAAACUCCCAAGCAGGGCUCCUCUUCUCCAGCUCUGAGGUAUGUGUAUUGAUGGCCCCCAACACCUCCCGGUUUGCUGCCUUGUGGGAAAAGGAGACCAGCUCAUCAGUCAUCUAGGAAAGGGAAGAAAUUUGAGAGCAGUGGCCUCUGUGUUCCAGGAAUAUUUGUGUUUCCCACAAAUCUCUGGAAAGCAGAAAGCUUGCCACAAGGGCAGCACAUGGUAUGAGUCACAAAGGGAAGGACGUGAGGGAGAAUACUUCCCAGGACUUUCAAAUAAGAAGGUCUUUCCUAAAUGUACUUGGCUCAGUGUGGCAAAAGCACUGGGCAUGCAGCAUUCAGAUGUGGGUUCAAAGCAAGGCACAAUCAUUUAUUAGCUAUAAAUUUGGGCAAGUCACUUCUUGAGAAUAGGCUUCUUCAUCUGUAAACAGAAUAAUAAUACCUUCCUUAUACCUUAAAUUGGUGUGAAAGUAAAUGAGUAAAAACCUCAGAGUUUUUCUGAGUUUAAAUGAGAUAAUUCAUGUAAUGUGCUUAGCACAAUACCUGGUACCCAGUAGGUACUCUGCAGUAUUUAUUUAUGAUGAUGAUGAUGAUGACGAAGAAAUACAAGGAGAUGUCAACACCUUAACAGUGUAUUCAUAGAUCUACAAAAUGCUUAAUCUCAGUGUUCUGGCAACCACUAAAUACAUAAAGAUAAUCUAAGAUGUCAAGAUUUCAACAUAUAAAAAUAAAUAUAAAAACAAGUGAACAAUAAUCAUUUAUAUUAGUUUCAUGACUAGAAAAAAUAAUAACCUAGAUUUUUUCUUAACCUAGAAAAUCUAGAUUAAAAAAAUAAAGAUCUUGCAUUUUUGAUAUAAAACACAAAUAAUAAGGACAUGAAAAAAGAAUAUCCCUUGCUAGUAAUCAAAUAAUGGCAAUGAGAAGCUGGAUUUUUAUAUCUAAAAUAAAAGCGCAAAUAGUUCAUAAUAUCCAUUGGUGGUAAGGUUGUGGUAAAACUAGUAUGCUUAUUCUCUGCUAGUUGCUUUGGAAAUUGGUACUAUCUUCUUAGGAAUAUGGCAAUAUGUAACAAAAGCAAUAAAAUAUUCUACUCCUGAGUCUUUCUUCUAGGGAAGUAACUCAACAGAAGCAAAAAGAGGUGUAUACAAAAACCAAAUAUAAAAACAAACAAAUAUUUCCUCCCUCCUUCCUCCCACCACCAAAAAAUGAAAGCUGGAAAUAGCGUAAAUUUCCAACUUAGUUGAAUUGUUUAAUAUAUUAGAGUUCAUCAAUAUGAGAGAAUAUUAUGCAUCUAAUAAUUGUGAAGACUAUGUAUAAACAUGGAAAAUAUUUAAGAUCUGAUGUUUAACUAGCAUAUACACUAUUAUUGUAGCUAUGAGAAAGAAAUAUUGCAUAUGUAGAAAUUAAUACACAAAAAUGAAAACAACUAUGUUUGGGGAAAGUGAUUAUGUACUUAUUUGGUUAAAUUUGUUUUAAUCUUGUUAUUUUAUCUUUAAACUUUUCUAAAAAUGAUGUGAUUACAAGCAAUGGCUCUUUGGGAUCACCUAAUAAAUACCUACUAAAUUCUACACAGGACAACGAGCUCUGCCAUUCUGCAAUGGCUCCUGUGACCUAGUUCCAGGGCCAUUCUGAAUGGACAGAGAUCUUCACAAUGGAGGUGGAGAUGCAGGGAGUUCUAUGGCAUGAAAUGGUUAAUGAUUCUCUUUUGUAAUUGUGUUUUCUGUUUGUUGCCUUAGUUCUAAAAGGAGGCAAAACAACUGUGGUUUAUUCUACCUUUUCCAGGCAUAGUUCUUCUCUUACCUUUGUGAUCCCUAAAUUAAUAUCAAAUGUCUAAUUAGUUUUUUCCUCCAUUGGUGAUCCCCAAAUUAAUAUCAAAUGUCAAACAAAGUAAAUCAAAGUACAAAUAAAGGUAAAACUGCUCUUGCAAAAGGCUAAAAUAGCAAUGUUUACUAGAAGCAUUCAAGAGCCAGUUCAAUUUCCUUUUUCUCAUUAAGUGGUAAAAUAGUAAUGCCAAGACCACAUCCCAGAAUCUCCAGGGUAACAGAGGCCCCACGAAGGGCUGCACAGAGAAACUUGAAAGUAAACUGGCUUAGUUCUUUACACACAGAAAUUGUUCUACAAAGAUCUCUUGCAAAGCAGUGUCACCAGUAGCAUCACUGCCACUAAGCCAAUGUCCCAGGAAUUGAGGAAAGGAAGACACCCUUAAAGAAAAAAAUGGAAAAAAGCCACAAGGACUAGUACCACAGUGUCUGCCUGGGUCUCCCUAGACUGUCUUAGGUGAGUUUACCCAGGAAUGUUUCUCCCCUACAUGUUUGUCUUCCUUUGUUUAAGCCUUUAUUCCUCCUAAAUGAAAAUAAAUACCCCCGACUGGGGAACGGGGA
Long non-coding RNA from Symphalangus syndactylus (siamang), 8744 nucleotides. RefSeq lists it as uncharacterized. NCBI's taxonomy places the organism in Eukaryota, Metazoa, Chordata, Mammalia, Primates, Hylobatidae. The record is from RefSeq and is a predicted model, not a curated record.